Molecule: ribosomal RNA, 324 nt
Filed under: uncultured eukaryote
Lineage: Eukaryota
Description: partial 18S ribosomal RNA
Rfam family: Eukaryotic small subunit ribosomal RNA
Source: RNAcentral
CCCUUAGAUGUCCUGGGCUGCACGCGCGCUACACUGAUGUGUCCAGUAAGCACCUAACCUCUUCCGAAAGGAACGGGUAACCUUUGCAAAGCACAUCGUGAUGGGGAUAGAUUAUUGCAACUAUUAGUCUUGAACGAGGAAUUCCUAGUAAGCACAAGUCAUCAGCUUGUGUUGAUUACGUCCCUGCCCUUUGUACACACCGCCCGUCGCUCCUACCGAUUGAAUGUUCCGGUGAGCUCUUCGGACUGCGCGGUCUGCAGUUUCUGCGUUCCGUGCGGAAAGUUGCGCAAACCUUAACAUUUAGAGGAAGGAGAAGUCGUAACA